ACAGAAAAGUAAAAAAAUUACAUUUAAUUUCGACUUAAAAAUUAGGAUUAAAUUCCUAUGUU
This 62-nucleotide transfer RNA is filed under the name Sophonia linealis. RNAcentral describes it as "tRNA-Arg". The record is from RNAcentral. Lineage: Eukaryota; Metazoa; Arthropoda; Insecta; Hemiptera; Cicadellidae.